Small RNA from Brassica oleracea var. oleracea, 290 nucleotides. It matches the Rfam family "TeloSII non coding RNA 33". From Rfam's summary of the family: Located downstream of the TeloSII elements. Lineage: Eukaryota; Viridiplantae; Streptophyta; Magnoliopsida; Brassicales; Brassicaceae. The record is from Rfam.
CUUAUCCUCAUCAGCAAACUUCUGAAUACAAAAGCUUUUUUUAUAACUCUCAAUCACUUAUUUACAUCAAAACAGAUACCAACAAUCCCACACUAAGUCUCUAAUCACAAUCACACCGAAAAACAAACAUUUAAAAACGAUUCUUCAAAAUUUCUAGGAAAAAAUCUGCAAAUGUACUUAUAUUAUUUCAACUAGAGAAGCCUCCUCCUGAAGUUUCUGGUAGUUGAUUGAUAAGUACGUACGAGAAGACCGACACCAAUGCCAAGACCAACACAGACGCCAAGUCCAAU